GACGAACGCUGGCGGCGUGCUUAACACAUGCAAGUCAAGGGGGCCCAGCAAUGGGCAACCGGCGAACGGGUGCGUAACACGUGAGCAACCUACCGAAAUGUGGGGGAUAGCCGGCCUAACGGCCGAGUAAUACCGCAUACGCUUUCCGAGAGGCAUUUCUUGGAAAGGAAACCUACGGGACAUUUCGAGGGGCUCGCGGCCUAUCAGCUAGUUGGCGAGGUAACGGCUCACCAAGGCAACGACGGGAGCUGGUCUGAGAGGAUGGCCAGCCACAUUGGGACUGAGAUACGGCCCAGACUCCUACGGGAGGCAGCAGUGGGGAAUCUUGCGCAAUGGCCUAACGGCUGACGCAGCGACGCCGCGUGUGGGAUGAAGCUCUUCGGAGUGUAAACCACUGUUGCCCGGGACGAAUAGCUCGAUUAAUCGAGCCUGACGGUACCGGGUGAGGAAGCACCGGCUAACUCCGUGCCAGCAGCCG
This 478-nucleotide ribosomal RNA is filed under the name uncultured bacterium. RNAcentral describes it as "bacterial SSU rRNA". It matches the Rfam family "Bacterial small subunit ribosomal RNA", at positions 28 to 517 of the family's 1533-position model. The record is from RNAcentral.